CCUGGCGGCGAUAGCGCGGUGGUCCCACCUGACCCCAUGCCGAACUCAGCAGUGAAACGCCGUAGCGCCGAUGGUAGUGUGGGGUCUCCCCAUGUGAGAGUAGG
This 104-nucleotide ribosomal RNA is filed under the name Photorhabdus luminescens subsp. sonorensis. Lineage: Bacteria; Pseudomonadati; Pseudomonadota; Gammaproteobacteria; Enterobacterales; Morganellaceae. The record is from RNAcentral. RNAcentral also lists the same sequence under 1 other name.